AACCGCACACCCGCACGAUUCCCCGCACGACCUCUCGCCCACGUAACCUCCCGCACACCCGCACACCAGUAUCCAUCGCUAAUCCAUCGAUCCUCCUCACGCGCCGUUCGUCCCGCACCCUCCCGUCCGUCAUCGCACCCUUCGCUGCGGGAGCCGCCCGCCGUGGCGAUAGCCGCGGGAGCUGCCGCCGGAGCCGCCCAUCGCGCCCUCCGUCGCGGGUCACCGCGGGAGCCGCCGCUGGCGCUGCCCGUCGCGCCCUCUGACGCCCGAGCUAUCACCGGAGCCGCACGCCGCGCCUUCCGCCGCAGGUCGCCGCCGGAGCCGCCGCGCCUUAGCCACGGGAGACCCCUUCCCCACGGGGGAGCCGCCGCGUGAGCCGCCCGAGCCGCUCAGCUUGGAGUCCUCAACCGCCGCCGCGCACGCAGGAGCCGCGAUGGAGGGGGAGUACGAUGAGGUUCUGGGGCAGCUCUCCUCUCUCACGCAAAAGGUGCGGACACACAUCGGCAACCCAGGCAACCAGUGGGACCUCAUGGACCGCUACCUCCAGAUUCUCGAGCUGGAGGAGGCCAUCGCGUGGAUGAAGGUCAUCCAUGUCACCGGGACCAAAGGGAAGGUGAAUCACGAGAUAACAUUUGGUGCCAAGGAUUCGAGAAGGUGAACUAAUACCAAGAACCAUGUCGCCGGAUGAUUCAGGAAGAGAUGGUCCUGAUAGUCGAGAUAAACGGUGCAUUGGGUGAACUUGUUACUACAGAGAUUUCCGUAUUCAGUCUAUCCCAUUACUCAUUUGCUUCAUAAGUUCCUACCAUAUUGUUUAUGUCGAUUUAUUCUACUCAUAUUCAUAAUUCAUGCGCCGCUGUCGCCGCCACUUUGAGGCCUUAGCCACCAAGCGGCAUCCUUUCCCGUGAGGCUUAAUUCAGUACAUGCUUCUCUGAAUUUCUAUGAGAUUAAUUCAAUAUAUGUUUCUCUGAAUGUUAUCCUUCCAUGUUGGAAUGUAUCAUUGGAAUGCAAGUUAGGAUGCUCUCUCUCCGUAUGAUAUACUUUAUGUUCUAUCAAAAAUUUGAUCUAUUUUAGGUGAUGUACAUGAAUGGCGGCAGAUGGUUGAGGAUUGAGGGAAUGUAGAUGCGACUAGCGAGCACUUACUCUGAGGUGCUUUCAGAUGAUGGAUUAAUAAGACUGUUUGGACAAAAUUCUGAUUUUUUUAACACUUGUUCCAUGUGCGAAUGUUCUGGGAGCACCAACUCCAACUGCUGACAAGGUGAAGCUUCUUAAGUCACUGCCAAAUCUCACCAUGUUAAGUAAUCGAUUUUACUUAUCAAAGAAAGACCAAAGAAUUGGCCAUGAUGCCAUGUUUUAAUUAAGUUUGUUGCAUGCCACGAGUUAAAGGGAACCUGUUCCUAUAGGAUAAUAGAAUGUAAUGUUAAUAGCCAGGGACUAUUUUGAAUAUUUACAUGUAAAGUAUCCAUCCUUUUUUCUGUAUAUCUUUUGUGUUUUUUCUUCUAACAUCAGCACUUCAGAAAAAGAUGUCGUAAACCGUGUAAUGUGGCAACACCAAGAAGGCCACCAUCAAGGUGAAGGUGCAAACAUGCAGAGCAGGUCUUGACUCCAGACCUAUUUGUCAUUCAUUCACAGAGGCAAUAAAUAUUAUCUUUGUAAUUUGAGAUUUUCAAAUAUGAUGCCUCAGUUUAUAAGUCUGUUGCAUGUAACAUCCUUUUUUACUUAAAAAGUUUGGCUUCGCUUCUCAUUAUGGGUUUGGUGCUUAUAUUAUUCUUACACAAGCCAGUUUCACCUCAAUUUAUCAUACAACUUAGAAUUAAUUAGAGCCCUGUUAUUGAUCCUUACUUAAUGCAACUGAAAGGAAAAAACUUCCUUAGGAUCCAUCCACGUCUUUGCUCUCUUUUCCAACUUUUGGUUUUGUUCUCUUCAACAUUUAUUUUUUCAGCACAAUAUCGAUUUCGCUCACAACUUAGCAAUAAUUGCAUGAGACUAAAAAUUGGGGUCAUAGCAAUGGUUAAUAAUGUCAUUUUUCUGUCAUGUUGGUUCCAUGUGUUUGUUACAUUUGUUUAAUUAGAAUUCUGCAUGCCCUUUUGCUUUGUUGUGAAAAUCUAAGCUCUGCUGAAGUUUCUGCUCCUCUUGAAUGUAUCAUGUUGCCUCCACUCUCCAGUGAGGUGCAUAUGUAUAUAGUACUGAGUUUUGACAACUAAUAGCUUUUCAGAAUUAAUCAUAUGGUUGUUGCUAGGAACUCUGAGCUUUGAGUUUUGAGAGGUAUUUAUUGUUAAAAUAUGAAAUAUGGUAAAAUGCAAGCUCUAAUGAUGAAGCUCGACACAGAGAAAGCUUUUGACACUGUCCUGAGAGUUCCUGGUGAUGGUGCUCAAGCAGGGGGGGUAUUGGUAUUGGUUGGAGGAAAAGGAUAUAUGCACUACUCAUGUUCUCUUCAACCAAGAUACUGACAGUUGGAGUAUGCUCCCAUUUCUUAAUUUUCUAUAAUCUGGAAGGUCAAUUCAUAUGAGCGCCUUCCUCCGUCGUCGAUCCGCGGCCCCUUCACACGCAUGGUGCGCUCGACGCGCCGCCUCGACACGCUGCACUGGACCUCAACAAUUAAAUGUACACCCAGAGAUGCAAGGCACCUACAGAGUGUGAAUGAUACAAGUUCUAAGCUAUCCAAGGUGUUGGUUUUUUUCUGGACAUGGUUCAGUACGAAGAAUGUACUGACAUAUAUUUGCAAAAGCUUACAUCGCUGACUGAUAUCUGUAAAAAUAGAUAUGCAAUGUAUAGGAACAUUGAUAUUAGUUUUAGAUAUGGAGCACGAAGAUUCUGAACCAUGCAAUUUUGUCACAUUAUGCCAGUAGAAGGAAGAUAGUUAAGCACAUCAACACAUAUCUUGGGGAAUAUCGUUAUGCCAUGUCCAAUGAUAUACCAUGUAUAUACAUGUAAAAGGUUAAAAGUGAACAAUAUCUAGCAAAAGAAAUCAUGCACAGGAGCUACAUAGAUUUUGCCCAAAUAGGUAUUUAAGAACGGAGUUGGAACACUAGAGAGAGCAGGCCCUGGACAUUGUUCUUUACAGUUGAUUUUCUUCAUCAAAUUUGGUAACCUGGAGAUGCAGAAGGAGUAGGCACAAGGAGGCGGACGGGAGUAGUUUAAUUUACUAUGUGUUAGUUGUUAAAUAUAUGUCCAAAUGUUGAUGCUAUGAAUUUUGCUACAAAAGGUUGCAUUUUCAUUUGAACUAUCAAUUUUGUUUUUAGUUCAUGUCAUGGGCACGACGACGGAUGGAUGUAAAUCCAUUGGAAAAUCAGACAACAUUUAGAUAUGAAGCAUAUCCAUCUUAUUACAACUUGACAUGUAAAACCUGUGUACAAGAAAAAUCUUUGGAAACUCAGGCUGGCAGUUAGCUAUGAAGCAUAUCCAUCUUAUUACAACAUGAUUAUGAUGUACUCCUACUGUACUUGUCUAACACAAGCACAAAAUCAAACUCACAACACAAGAACCUGAGUCAAACUCUUGUAAAUCAAUAUCAGAAAAGAAAGAGGAAAUAGCUGGUUCGAACGAGCAGGCCCAGCAGACAACGACACUUGCAGGAGUAUAGGUACCGAAGUUCAAUAGCGGUAGGUACCAAGGAGAAGACGAGUCAGGGCCGAUUGACAAGACUAGCUAUGCUGACCUUCCAGCCAUACUCCAUCCAAUAUCGAACGGAAGUGCUAAAGGUUUCAUGUGAUGCUAACCUCAAUGAACCAGACCUCGAGAAUUCGUUCAUCCCUUCGCUCCGAGGAUUGGUCGAGUACUUGGCCACAUGCAUGAGUAGGCAUGUUGCCGGGAUGUCCCAUUAAAAAGGCAGGUCCCAUAUUUGAAAUACAAAAAUAAGAUCAGAUAGCGCUCAAGAGGUUUUUCUCCAUACGAGAAAUCCUUCACUCCCAGGGAAUUCAAAUACAUGUGUUGAAGAUCAUCAAAGAAAGGAAAAAGAAUGAAUUCGAUCCAUCUCCUCCCUUUUCUUUAAACCAAGAGCUACUCCUCCCUUUUAUUUUUUAAUAUAAUUUCAAUAUGAUUUCGUUUG
Molecule: long non-coding RNA, 4045 nt
Organism: Triticum aestivum (bread wheat)
Lineage: Eukaryota; Viridiplantae; Streptophyta; Magnoliopsida; Poales; Poaceae
Exons: 8
Source: RefSeq, a predicted model, not a curated record